CAGGUACAGAGAGAAGCCAGGUGGCGACACCGCGCGGAACCCGAAAGCCGUUCUCAGUUCGGAUCGGAGUCUGCAACCCGACUCCGUGAAGCUGGAUUCGCUAGUAAUCGCGCAUCAGCCAUGGCGCGGUGAAUACGUUCCCGGGCCUUGUACACACCGCCCGUCAAGCCAUGGGAGCCGGGGGUGCUUGAAGUGCGUCGCCGCAAGGCGCGCCCUAGAGCAAAACCGGUGACUGGGGCUAAGUCGUAACAAGGUAGC
Molecule: ribosomal RNA, 258 nt
Filed under: uncultured bacterium
Lineage: Bacteria
Description: partial 16S ribosomal RNA
Rfam family: Bacterial small subunit ribosomal RNA
Source: RNAcentral